RNAcentral lists this ribosomal RNA (379 nucleotides) under Paraphrynus sp. 1 PAC-2020. RNAcentral's name for it is "partial small subunit ribosomal RNA". Lineage: Eukaryota; Metazoa; Arthropoda; Arachnida; Amblypygi; Phrynidae. The record is from RNAcentral.
UAGUGGAAUGAUUUGUGGGUAGUAGGAGGGGAUCUUAAAACCUAAAAUUUUUGGCGGUUUUUUAGUCUGGUUAGAGGAAUCUGUUCUGUAAUGGAUAUUCCGCUUUAAGUUUAACUCUGGGAGUUGUUUAUAUACCGCCGUCGUAAAGUGAGCUUUUUAGAGCUUAUUGGAGGGCUCGGGGGUCUGGUUUGUUGGUUAGACUUUGGGGAAAGAUGUCAGGUCAAGGUGUAGCUGUAAUACUGGAGGGUGAGAUGGAUUACAAUCUUAGAUUGGGUUAGAGAAAUGGAGAUCGGUGAGAAAUUAUUACUGAUAAUGAAAGUGGAUUUAAAAGUAAGAUUUUUAAUUAAAAUUGGAUUUUGAAAAGAGCUCUAAGAAAUGU